GAAUUCACAUUGUGACUUUGUUGUCAUAAGUUCGAGCUUAUUGUCCAUUUUAACGUGGUCGAUUUAGUUUAGCAACGAAAAUCAAAGAAAAGUAAAAGUGGGAAUUCUACAUACCUAUGUGAGUAUGUUUACUUUUUUUUUUUUUUUUUUUUUGACGGGAUGUGAGUAUGUUUACUUAAUGAGGAGAAAGAUAGAGUAAUGUGAGAUUUAUUGUACCUCCUUCGUGUUAUUAGAUGACAUAUUAUGGGGUAAACCCAAGUUGUUCUUCUUGUGAAACAACUUUUGUUUCUCAAGAGGGCGAAAUGGGAAUUUCAACGUGAAGAGUCCAAAUAUGGUCCACUUGGCAUUUGACAGCCGUUAGGCUGGCGUUUUCUUAAUAAGAUAACGGAAGAAACCCUAAAGUUAGGCUGUCGUUAUGUAACUGUUUAUUUUACUCUUCUUGAUGUUUUUUUACCCUUUGGGAGUGCUUUAAUUGAACGGAGGCAAGCAAUACGACGGAGGUACGCGGCGACGAAAUAUAGAAGGUGUAUAUCUAUUAUCGAUUCGAAGUGAUCUUUGUGAAAGGUGAGCUACCCGUCGAUUGUGUUUGCUAUUUGAUUAUGCAGUGAAUUUUGAAUUUGAGUGAUUGAGUUUGUAUUAUCUAUGGAUUCGGAUUUGGGUAUGAAUGCUUUGAAAUUGAUAUGAUUUUGUGAAUAUUUGAUUUUGGUAUGAGUUUUAUGGAGGAUUGAAUAUUUGAUUUUGAAGUAACUGUUUAUUAUCGAGUUUUCGGUGGAUAAAUUAUUCAAUUUUAGUUGUUAAUUGUGUUAAUAAGAUAUUUGAUUUUGUAAAAAUAUAAUUGGUAUGAGUUUUAUGGAGGAUUGAAUAAGCUGAAAAUAACUGUCUAUUUUUGUGUUUUUGGUGGAUAAAUUAUUCAACUUAAGCUGGUAAUUGUAUUAAUAAGAGAAUGUUUUGUUCGUAAUGAAAAUAUUUGACGACUGAAUCAGCGUUCUGAAGAUGUCAAAUGGUAAUGUCUCUAUUGAAGCCAAGGUCAGUGAAGGUCCCCGUUUUUGCUGGUUAAAUUAUAAAGUUAAUGCAAGGUUUAGUUGUGAAAUUAUUUAUGUGGUGUAGGUAUGUGAUGAUGGUGAGAGCAAUGGUGUGAUGAAGAACAAGCAAGUGACUGAAGUCUCGAUGCGUAAGACAAUUAAUUUGUACCCUGAACUGUUUAAGGACAAUAGUUCAAGUGUUGGUGGAUGUGCUAAAGGUAGAUCAGAGGUUAAUGCUUUGCAUAGGAAGGCUUGUAGUAGACCCCCUAACAUGAACUGCCGAAUAGAGUCAUUUGGACGAAUAUAUCAAAAAUUUGAUGAGAGAAGAAAACGGUGGGUUACUGAAAUGGGUUUUUGUGGUCUGUUACACAUGUCUUUUGGUAUUCAUUUACCCAGACAACUGGCUUAUUGGGUAAUGACCUGGAUUGACCCGUUAAGUGGUAAAAUGAUAACCCCCAGCGGUGUUGAGUUUAAGUUCUCAAAGAACCAAGUUAGGUGGGUGUUAGGGAUCCCAAAUGGUGCUAGAUCUGUGCCAUCCACCAAAACUAUGACUGAAGAGGGCAGAUUGAAAGUGCAGAAAAUACUUUUGCGUUAUGGGAAGUCAUGAGAAUCUAAGUCUAGCAAACCCCGCAGUGGUACAGUGUACACCUCUGUAGGGAUACCUGUUACAGCUGCAAUGUUGGAUCGUUUGGAAGGAUAUUUUGAGGAAUCACAGGAAGAAGAGUUUAAAACUCUGUUCUUGAUUGUGGCCUUGGAGAUGGUAUUAUGUCCCACACAAUCUCCUAGACUUGCGGCUAAUCUUUUACCUUCACUAAGUUGUGCAAUGGAUGCUGUUGAAUAUGGCUGGUGUGGUUUGGUUCUUUCAAAAUUCAUGGAUAGUGUUAGUAGUUUUGCGCGAAGGUUUUAUGCAAAUGGGUUUGCAGGAGGAUGUGGUGGUUGUACAAUUUUAGCUGUUAUAUUUUAUUUGGACCGAUUGGAUAGAGAUCCUGUACAAUGGGAUGCAUUUCCCAAGAUUAAGGUAUGGGACAUGCAGCAGAUUGGCAUAGCGUCAAAGUUGGACAAUCGUUGGAUGUUGCGUAUGGUGAAAGACAUCCUAGGGAAGCCAGGGAUACAGAAGUCCCUUCAGACCAUCGAAUAGUCAUCGAUGUUCCACAAGCAGAUGUUGGGUUUAACUCAAAGAAAAGGAGGGGUCGUUCUACAACUCGAUCUGACUAUAAGCGGUUGAAGUGAGUGAAGUUGAAUAAGUGUUCAAAUAAGUCGUCUGUGUUAUCCAGUUUUCCUAGUGUGUCUGUUUGUUUUCGCAUCAAAGGACUUGGUGAAUUUUAUGAAUUCCUGUUUGAGUUGUAACAACAAUUGUAACAGUUUUCCUACUUGCCCUUGUAAUCUUGUAUUCAUUACAAUUCCAUAGGACCUUGUCCAUGUAUUCUUGCAUUCUUUACAAUUCCGUGUGUAAUUUUUUUCAAUUACAAUUCCAUGUUAUAUAGUUGCUUUAAAUGUAAUUUUAUUCAUUGUGUAUUA
RNA transcript from Chenopodium quinoa (quinoa), 2540 nucleotides. RefSeq lists it as uncharacterized. Lineage: Eukaryota; Viridiplantae; Streptophyta; Magnoliopsida; Caryophyllales; Amaranthaceae. The record is from RefSeq and is a predicted model, not a curated record. The transcript has 6 exons.